GUGUCAGCCGCCGCGGUAAUACAGAGAGUGCAAACGUUGUUCGGAAUUACUGGGCUUAAAGCGCACGUAGGCGGCGCCGCAAGUGUUGGGUGAAAUCCCACGGCUUACCCGUGGAACUGCCCAGCAGACUGCGGUGCUAGAGGAUGGUAGGGGAGAGCGGAACUCCUGGUGGAGCGGUGAAAUGCGUAGAUAUCAGGAGGAACACCGGUGGCGAAGGCGGCUCUCUGGUCCAUUUCUGACGCUGAGGUGCGAAAGCUAGGGGAGCAAACGGGAUUAGAUACCCCUGUAGUCC
Molecule: ribosomal RNA, 292 nt
Filed under: uncultured bacterium
Lineage: Bacteria
Description: partial 16S ribosomal RNA
Rfam family: Bacterial small subunit ribosomal RNA
Source: RNAcentral